Molecule: small RNA, 29 nt
Filed under: Bombyx mori (domestic silkworm)
Lineage: Eukaryota; Metazoa; Arthropoda; Insecta; Lepidoptera; Bombycidae
Description: ovarian small RNA-4626
Source: RNAcentral
CAAAAGACAGAGACCAGCCGCGAUCGCCC